This 497-nucleotide ribosomal RNA is filed under the name uncultured bacterium. RNAcentral describes it as "partial 16S ribosomal RNA". It matches the Rfam family "Bacterial small subunit ribosomal RNA", at positions 28 to 507 of the family's 1533-position model. The record is from RNAcentral.
GAUGAACGCUGGCGGCGUGCCUAAUACAUGCAAGUCGAGCGAACAGACGAGGAGCUUGCUCCUCUGACGUUAGCGGCGGACGGGCGAGUAACACGUGGAUAACCUACCUAUAAGACUGGGAUAACUUCGGGAAACCGGAGCUAAUACCGGAUAACAUGUUGAACCGCAUGGUUCAACAGUGAAAGACGGUCUUGCUGUCACUUAUAGAUGGAUCCGCGCCGCAUUAGCUAGUUGGUAAGGUAACGGCUUACCAAGGCAACGAUGCGUAGCCGACCUGAGAGGGUGAUCGGCCACACUGGAACUGAGACACGGUCCAGACUCCUACGGGAGGCAGCAGUAGGGAAUCUUCCGCAAUGGGCGAAAUCCUGACGGAGCAACGCCGCGUGAGUGAAGAAGGUCUUCGGAUCGUAAAACUCUGUUAUUAGGGAAGAACAAAUGUGUAAGUAACUAUGCACGUCUUGACGGUACCUAAUCAGAAAGCCACGGCUAACUACGUG